RNAcentral lists this long non-coding RNA (1347 nucleotides) under Salmo salar (Atlantic salmon). RNAcentral's name for it is "lncRNA (ENSSSAG00000104803.1)". The record is from RNAcentral. Lineage: Eukaryota; Metazoa; Chordata; Actinopteri; Salmoniformes; Salmonidae.
AAGGGGGGGGGGCGCCAACCCAGACAGGAAGACCACGUCAGUGACUCAACCCACUCAAGUGACGCACCCCUCCUAGGGACGGCAUGGAAGAGCACCAGUAAGCCAGUGACUCAACCCCUGUAAUAGGGUUAGAGGCAGAGAAUCCCAGUGGAGAGAGGGGAACCGGCUAGGCAGAGACAGCAAGGGCAGUUCGUUGCUCCAGUGCCUUUCCGUUCACCUUCACUCUCCUGGGCCAGACUACACGGGUCGGGGACCCUUGGUCUUGUUGUUCCAUCUCCAAGUAUGUGUACUCGGUGGAAAGCCACCUUGUUUACAGUCUCUAUAGGACGUUUCAAGGAGGAUUGCAUGAAUUCUCUGAUCGUGCCCUCUGGAUUAUUGGAUGCGUCCUCAUGAAUCCCAGAUUUUUUUUUUCACGCAUUCUAUAACUUUGUAUGUCUAGUAGCGACUCCUUCAUCAUCCUAUUAACCCUGAAUAGACAAUCCAUAUUGGAAUCGUGGAUUUUUACCUUGGCUGUGAGUGCCUUGUUUUCUCCUUGGAGCGUGAGAAUUUCACUCUGGCUAACUCCAAACACUCCCUCAGCCCUGCUACCUCCUCACACAACUUUUCCAGUGUUGCAUGGAUUCCAGCCAGAGCACUGGCCUCUACUUCAACGGACAAUGACCCAACACACUUCCAGGCUGUGCAAGGGCUAUUUGACCAAGAAGCAGAGUGAUGGAGUACGGCAUCAGAGGACCUGGCCUCCACAAUCACCCAACCUCAACCCAUGUUGAGAUGGUCUGGAAUGAGUUGGACCACAGAGUAAAGAAAAAGCAGACAACAAGUGCUCAACAUAUGUGGGAACUCCUUCAAUACUGUUGUAAAAGCAUUCAAGGUGAAGCUGAUUGAGAGAAUGCCAAGAGCGUGCAAAUCUGUCAUCAAGACAAAGGGUGGCUACUUUGAAGAAUCUCAAUGAUAAAAUAAAAUUUGAGAGUUAGAUGAGGACGAGGAAGAGGACAAGAACAAGGAGGAUGAGCAGGAGGACGAGGAGGGGGAAGAGGACGAGGAGUGGGACAAGGAAGAGGAGGAAGGAGAACAAUCACAGAUGAGAUCCGGGCCACUUUGGUUGACCAUGGUUUGAGUUUCAGGGAGGCUGGGCAGAGGGUCCAGCCUAACUUGAGGCUCUACACGGCAGCAAGUGUCAUCCGGACAUUUCAAAAUGAGAACAGAAUUGCUAGACGACCCUUCAAUGGAAGACGAAAUCGGCUGUUCACAGCAGAGCAGGAACAACACAUAGUGAAUGUGGUCAUUUCAAACAACAGCAUACGUGUACAACAACUGUAACACCACAUCAUCACAACAUUAAUUAAG